Non-coding RNA from Pelobates cultripes (western spadefoot toad), 415 nucleotides. The record is from the annotation of a GenBank genome assembly. Lineage: Eukaryota; Metazoa; Chordata; Amphibia; Anura; Pelobatidae.
CCUGACAAAGGGGUUUUCAGGCUACGCGUUAGUAAAAUCAAAAUGAAGGUAAAAAUGUUCUGUAAGUAGUUUUCGGAGCUGUUGAGCCCAUAUUGUCACAUGUCUGAAGUGUUUGAUGUUCUGAGCUGUCAUCCUUCCGGCUCGUCUCCUGAACUCAAACCACAAAGAAUCUAAUUAAAGCUGCCCGCGUAUCCUCUUCCUGCAUUCACCUAUCAGCUCACCCAUUAUCUGAUCUCCACGUGUGGGGAACACAGAACGUCAGAGACCAGCAGGCCUGCUCGAUUAGGACAAGAUUAGCAGGGCCGUACAGAAAGGAGACAAAACAGCGCCAAAUCUUUUUUUCCCGCUUGCAGCUUUUGAGUUUCCUGAGUACCUGGAGCAAGCACACUUGCUCCUUUUCACCACUAGGUGGCAG